RNAcentral lists this ribosomal RNA (1152 nucleotides) under uncultured bacterium. Its description in RNAcentral is "bacterial SSU rRNA". It matches the Rfam family "Bacterial small subunit ribosomal RNA", at positions 39 to 1170 of the family's 1533-position model. The record is from RNAcentral.
GCAUCGGCUGACUACACAUGCAGUCGAGGGGUAGCACAGAAUAGCUUGCUAUUUGGGUGACGACCGGCGCACGGGUGAGUAACGCGUAUGCAACCUGCCUAUAAGAGGGGGAUAGCCUUUCGAAAGAAAGAUUAAUACCGCAUAAUACUAUUUACCUGCAUGGGUAAAUAGUUAAACUAUUUGGCUUAUAGAUGGGCAUGCGUUCCAUUAGAUAGUUGGUGAGGUAACGGCUCACCAAGUCAGCGAUGGAUAGGGGUUCUGAGAGGAAGGUCCCCCACACUGGUACUGAGACACGGACCAGACUCCUACGGGAGGCAGCAGUGAGGAAUAUUGGUCAAUGGGCGAGAGCCUGAACCAGCCAAGUCGCGUGAAGGAUGAAGGUCUUAUGGAUUGUAAACUUCUUUUAUAAGGGAAUAAAAAAGAUCACGUGUGGUUUAUUGCAUGUACCUUAUGAAUAAGCAUCGGCUAACUCCGUGCCAGCAGCCGCGGUAAUACGGAGGAUGCGAGCGUUAUCCGGAUUUAUUGGGUUUAAAGGGUGCGUAGGCGGUUUAUUAAGUCAGUGGUGAAAGUUUUCGGCUCAACCGGAAAAUUGCCAUUGAAACUGAUAGACUUGAGUGUAAACGAGGUAGGCGGAAUUCGUGGUGUAGCGGUGAAAUGCUUAGAUAUCACGAAGAACUCCAAUUGCGAAGGCAGCUUACUAGGCUACAACUGACGCUGAAGCACGAAAGCGUGGGGAUCAAACAGGAUUAGAUACCCUGGUAGUCCACGCAGUAAACGAUGAUAACUAGCUGUUUGCGAUACACAGUAAGCGGCACAGCGAAAGCGUUAAGUUAUCCACCUGGGGAGUACGCCGGCAACGGUGAAACUCAAAGGAAUUGACGGGGGCCCGCACAAGCGGAGGAACAUGUGGUUUAAUUCGAUGAUACGCGAGGAACCUUACCCGGGGCUUGAACGUAAGGGAGACAGUUCUGGAAAACAAAAUCUCUAGCAAUAGCUGCCCUACAAGGUGCUGGCAUGGGUUGUCCUCCACCUCCUGGCCCGGGAGGGUGUCGGGCUUAAAUUGCCAUAAACGAAGCGCCACCCCACAUUCGAUUGGUUACUAAACAGGGUCAAGCCUGAAGGAACUCUUUUCGAGAACUGGCCGCCGUAAGA